UUGGAGGGCAAGUCUGGUGCCAGCAGCCGCGGUAAUUCCAGCUCCAAUAGCGUAUAUUAAAGUUGUUGUGGUUAAAAAGCUCGUAGUUGAACCUUGGGCCUGGCUGGCCGGUCCGCCUCACCGCGUGUACUGGUCCGGCCGGGCCUUUCCCUCUGUGGAACCCCAUGCCCUUCACUGGGUGUGGCGGGGAAACAGGACUUUUACUGUGAAAAAACUGAGUGCUCCAGGCAGGCCUAUGCUCGAAUACAUUAGCAUGGAAUAAUAGAAUAGGA
Molecule: ribosomal RNA, 272 nt
Filed under: uncultured Ascomycota
Lineage: Eukaryota; Fungi; Ascomycota
Description: partial 18S ribosomal RNA
Rfam family: Eukaryotic small subunit ribosomal RNA
Source: RNAcentral